This is a non-coding RNA of Oryctolagus cuniculus (rabbit), 3862 nucleotides long. The record is from RefSeq and is a predicted model, not a curated record. NCBI's taxonomy places the organism in Eukaryota, Metazoa, Chordata, Mammalia, Lagomorpha, Leporidae.
CCGCGGGCCGCCAUCGCUAUUGCGGGGUCCUGUGUCGGCUGCGGCUGCGUGGCCGACUGUGCCCUUCCUCUGUGAGCUAGGGCUCGCAGCCCACGAGGGAAGACCGGGGAGGAGAAGUUAGGAGGGGCUGAUGGGCCGAGCGUUCUGAGGAGGGCGGCAGCUCCCGCCCCCGAGUGGCGCGCCUGGCCGCCUCGGUUGCUGUCAUGGCCGCCGGGCCACGUGACUCUGGCCGGGCGCCGGCCUGUCUUCCUGUCUAGUUCAGUAGUCUCGGUUCACCGACUCCCUCCUUUUCUCGCUUGCGGACCACGAUACUGCUUUUCUUUCCUCAGAAGCACUGCUGACAGACUCUGAAAAAUCCAAAGAUAUCUGGAGAAAAUGACACAUUGGUUUCAUAGGAACCCAUUAAAAGCCACUGCUCCUGUCUCUUUUAACUACUAUGGUGUAAUCACUGGCCCUCCUGCUUCAAAAAUUUGCAAUGACUUGAGAUCAUCCAGGGCAAGACUCCUUGAACUGUUCACUGAUUUGAGCUGUAAUCCAGAAAUGAUGAAGAAUGCAGCAGAUUUGUAUUUUUCACUUUUACAAGGUUUCAUAAAUUCAUCGGAUGAGUCUACUCAAGAAAGCAAGUUACGAUAUAUUCAAAAUUUCAAGUGGACUGAUACAUUACAAGGACAGGUUCCCAGUGCUCAGCAGGAUGCUGUUUUUGAAUUAAUCUCCAUGGGAUUUAAUGUAGCUUUAUGGUAUACUAAGUAUGCUUCAAGACUGGCUGGGAAAGAAAACAUAACAGAGGAUGAAGCAAAAGAUGUCCAUCGAAGCUUAAAAAUUGCAGCUGGGAUUUUUAAACAUUUGAAGGAAAGUCACAUCCCAAAACUUAUCACACCUGCAGAAAAGGGAAGGGAUCUGGAGGCCCGGCUCAUAGACGCUUACGUUAUCCAGUGUCAGGCUGAAGCUCAAGAAGUAACAAUUGCUCGAGCAAUUGAACUAAAACAUGCACCUGGACUAAUUGCGGCACUGGCAUAUGAAACAGCCAAUUUCUAUCAGAAAGCUGAUCAUACUUUAUCCAGUUUGGAGCCUGCAUACUCUGCUAAAUGGAGAAAAUAUCUUCACUUGAAAAUGUGUUUCUACACAGCUUAUGCUUACUGUUAUCAUGGUCAGACAUUGUUGGCUAGUGAUAAAUGUGGUGAAGCAAUCAGGUCUCUCCAAGAAGCAGAAAAAUUUUAUGCAAAGGCAGAAGCACUAUGCAAAGAAUAUGGAGAAACAAAAGGACCUGGACCAACAGUCAAACCAUCAGGACACUUGUUCUUCAGGAAACUUGGAAACCUCGUGAAGAAUACACUAGAAAAAUGUCAGAGAGAAAAUGGGUUUAUUUACUUUCAGAAAAUUCCAGCCGAAGCUCCACAACUGGAACUCAAAGCAAAUUAUGGUCUUGUAGAGCCUGUACCUUUUGAAUUUCCUCCUGCAAGUACUCAGUGGACACCAGAAACAUUGGCUGCCUUUGAUCUCACCAAGAGACCCAAGGAUGACAGUGUAUGAGAUUGAAUUUUUUCCUUCCAUUCACAAAAGUUUAAAAAGAAUUCAGAAAGGUGCAGUUGGAUAAGAGGAAUGGCUUCCAAUGUUCUGUUGCACAGGAGGGCCAAACCCAAACCAGAAGAAGAUGUGAAACCCGUGAAAGAACCAGAUAUCAAACCCCAAAAAGACACUGGUUGCUACCUAUCCUAACAUACUUCUGGAAUAAGAUGUGCACUUAAAAUUUACUGCUUGUGGAUAAGAUAAACCAUGGACCUUAGUUCAUUUUUCUUAAAAUGAUUUCUCUGAAACUUUAGAAUUACUACAUUCAGAGGGAACCUGGCUCCAGUUUAUUUGUUCUUGAUUUUGAAUACAGUGGAGAUGACUCCAUGCUUUGUUUCCAGACUCCUUUUUAAUCAGGACAACGCUUGAAAGAUUUUAUUGUGCCUCUUAUGGGUGUAUUUGGGAGUUAGGUCUUUUUUUGAACUCUGGAUAAUAAUAAUUUCAGAUUAAUAUAUUAUAGUUGUAAAUCAUGUAGCUUUCACAUUCAGGUAUAUUUUCACAAAAGAGUUUAUGUUCUUCCUUAUUUGAUCCCUGAAGAAUGAUGGGAAUUAGUUUUUAACAAAGACAGGGUUUUUUUUCCCCUCACCGUUGUAUUAGUUUGAAUACAGACCUGAUAUGGUCUGCGUCAUUUAUCUUUUCUGGUAGAAAAACAGUGACUUAAAGAUCAGAACACUUUCAUACCAAAUCCCUUAAAUAGAUUAGAAUCUAUAAUUUACUUGAAAAUCAGUGUUUAUAGGUAUGUUGAGUCUUUCAAGAAUGUAUCUCUAUUCUUAUAGCCCUGUGUUUCAUUCUGUUUCAGUAACCCUAAGUUGAUUUUUACAAGUACGUUUUCUAAUGGGUUUUUUACUUAGAGAAAGAACUUUGUUAACAGCUGUUAAUGUUUCUUAUGGAAGAGAAGACAGUACAAAUAGAAAAUGUUUUUUGAAGUAAAAUUUUUUGUGAUGUAAAGAAGAAACUUUAAUUACGUGAGGUAGGUUGUCCUGAAUUAUACUGGUAGCUCUUUACUUCUGUGGUAAAGAAGUUACAGUAAAAUGCCUUUGUUGCCUGAUUCAGUGUACAUUGUUUUUUUAUGGUUUUCUAAUACAUGUGUCCUGUCGGGAUUGUAUUGCUUUAGUCCAAAGGCCAUAGCAAAAACUUAGAGAACAAACUUAAAUACAGUGUAAUAUGAAUAAUAGAUUGUAAUCUUGGGAACAGGUAGGUUAGCAUGUGCACAGACUUGGAAAAUAGUGGAGGCAUAAUACUGUAACAAAAGUCACACAUCUGUAAGUUUAUCUUUUGAUUAUUCUCCUGGCAUGUUAGCCAGUUUUCCUAUUGUAAUGGACAGAUCAGUCCACUUAAUAGAAAUAAUAGUGUGUAUGGAGAACUUGCUGUUUGCCAGGCACUGUGCUGAGCAGUUACAGAUAAACCAUUAAUUCCACAGAACAGCCUUGUGAGGAAUGAAUAAAAUCUGCACAAAGUGCUAAUGUAGUAAUACACAUUUCAUUGUGAAGAAUGACUAGAAUAUGCCCAAGUCAAUAUUGUGAUCAGAUGAGUGAUUACUUAAAUCCUGUAUUGUAGUUUACACUGCUUUAGAGACACUCCUUAGGAAACACUACACAGAAUCAGUGUGUUUUUUUUUUUAAUAUACAGAAUUGCUAAUUUGUGCUUACAGUAUGAUAUUUAAUAUUUGAAACCACAGUUUCCAGAGUAAGUGGAGUAAUAACAAACAGGCAUUUAGUUUUAUUUUGUUGUCUAUGGGAAAAAAUAAUUUAUUAAACUUCCCCAUAUCUUGUGUGAUCCUCAUUACAGAGUCCAUCGUCAUCUUUGCUGUUUAGCCAUUUACUGACAAAAUCCUGCGCAGCACUGCACAACUCUUUUCUUUCUACCUAUAGGACUUGUUUAUCUUAGGUAAUAGAGCCUAUUAACCUAGUUACUAAAUUUUCACAUUGACAUUUUUGUGUAUUCUAUUACCAUACAUGAAAUGGAAACAUGUAUUAUGCCCAGUGCUUCUGUAGAACUCAGUAAAUACUGGUAUUACUUUAAAUCAGUAAUUAAACAUUCUAUUGGCUCAGCAAAGGUGAUACUCUGUGAUUAAAGUAUCCCAUGCCAUCAUAUUUAAUGCUUUCUGACAUGACAUUGAGAAUUUGGGGAAAUUACCAAAUUCAGAGUUGUGUGAAAAUUAGAGAGAUGUAACUAUUUGUGUUAACUGCAUUUGGUACCACGCAGUGACAGCUAACAUAUUACUUCUGCUAAAGGUGUUAUUUGUAUAAUGAGUUAUCUUUUUAUUUAUGAAAAUAAAAGUAAUUUUACUUAGAAA